RNAcentral lists this ribosomal RNA (262 nucleotides) under Escherichia coli. RNAcentral describes it as "partial 16S ribosomal RNA". It matches the Rfam family "Bacterial small subunit ribosomal RNA", at positions 1 to 259 of the family's 1533-position model. Lineage: Bacteria; Pseudomonadati; Pseudomonadota; Gammaproteobacteria; Enterobacterales; Enterobacteriaceae. The record is from RNAcentral.
AAAUUGAAGAGUUUGAUCAUGGCUCAGAUUGAACGCUGGCGGCAGGCCUAACACAUGCAAGUCGAACGGUAACAGGAAUCAGCUUGCUGUUUCGCUGACGAGUGGCGGACGGGUGAGUAAUGUCUGGGAAACUGCCUGAUGGAGGGGGAUAACUACUGGAAACGGUAGCUAAUACCGCAUAACGUCGCAAGACCAAAGAGGGGGACCUUCGGGCCUCUUGCCAUCGGAUGUGCCCAGAUGGGAUUAGCUUGUUGGUGGGGUA